GCUUACGGCCAUACCACCCUGACAUGCCCGAUCUCGUCCGAUCUCGGAAGCUAAGCAGGGUCGGGCUGGUUAGUACUUGGAUGGGAGACCGCCUGGGAAUACCAGGUGCUGUAAGCU
RNAcentral lists this ribosomal RNA (117 nucleotides) under Labrus bergylta (ballan wrasse). The record is from RNAcentral. Lineage: Eukaryota; Metazoa; Chordata; Actinopteri; Labriformes; Labridae.